This 459-nucleotide ribosomal RNA is filed under the name uncultured bacterium. RNAcentral describes it as "partial 16S ribosomal RNA". It matches the Rfam family "Bacterial small subunit ribosomal RNA", at positions 338 to 795 of the family's 1533-position model. The record is from RNAcentral.
CCUACAGGAGGCAGCAGUGAGGAAUAUUGGUCAAUGGGCGGAAGCCUGAACCAGCCAAGUAGCGUGCGGGAUGAAGGCCCUACGGGUCGUAAACCGCUUUUGCACGGGGAUAACACCCUCCACUUGUGGAGGUCUGCAGGUACCGUACGAAUAAGGGCCGGCUAAUUCCGUGCCAGCAGCCGCGGUAAUACGGAGGGCCCGAGCUUUAUCCGGAUUCAUUGGGCUUAAAGGGAGCGUAGGCGGGCGUUCAAGUCAGCUGUAAAAUCGCGCGGCUCAACCGCGCCCCGCAGUUGAAACUGGACGACUUGAGUGCACAACAGGCAGGCGGAAUGCGUGGUGUAGCGGUGAAAUGCAUAGAUAUCACGAAGAACCCCGAUUGCGAAGGCAGCCUGCCGGGGUGCGACUGACGCUGAGGCUCGAAGGUGCGGGUAGCAAACAGGAUUAGAUACCCGAGUAGUC